Ribosomal RNA from Bison bison bison, 126 nucleotides. The record is from Ensembl. NCBI's taxonomy places the organism in Eukaryota, Metazoa, Chordata, Mammalia, Artiodactyla, Bovidae.
GUCUCCUGCCAUAUCAGCCUGAAGGUUCCCAAUCUCGUCUGAUCUUCGAAGCUAUGCAGGAUCCGGCCUGCAUAGUACUUAGUACUUGGAUGGGAAACCACCAGGGAAUACCAGGUGCUGUAGGCU